UCCCUAUGGGGUGCAGCAGUCGCGAAAAUUUUGCAAUACACGAAAGUGUGACAGAGCUAUCCCGAGUGCCAUCCGCUGAGGAAGGCUUUUACCCAGUAUAAAUAGCUGGGAGAAUAAGGAGAGGGCAAGUCUGGUGUCAGCCGCCGCGGUAAUACCAGCUCUCCGAGUAGUGUGGACGUUUAUUGGGCCUAAAGCAUCCGUAGCUUGCUAGAUAAGUCCCCUGUUAAAUCCACCGAUUCAAUCGUUGGAUUGCGGGGGAUACUGUUUGGCUAGGGGACGGGAGAGGUCGACGGUAUUUCCGGGGUAGGGGUGAAGUCCUAUAAUCCCGGGAAGACCACCAGUGGCGAAGGCUGUCGACUAGAACGCGCCCGACGGUGAGGGAUGAAAGCUGGGGGAGCGAACCGGAUUAGAUACCCGGGUAGUCCCAGCUGUAAACGAUGCAGGCUAGGUGUUUGGGCGGCCACGAGCCGCCCUAGUGCCGCAGGGAAGCUGUUAAGCCUGCCGCCUGGGGAGUACGGCCGCAAGGCUGAAACUUAAAGGAAUUGGCGGGGGAGCACCACAAGGGGUGAAGCUUGCGGUUUAAUUGGAGUCAACGCCGGAA
Molecule: ribosomal RNA, 601 nt
Filed under: uncultured archaeon
Lineage: Archaea
Description: bacterial SSU rRNA
Rfam family: Archaeal small subunit ribosomal RNA
Source: RNAcentral